RNAcentral lists this ribosomal RNA (271 nucleotides) under uncultured prokaryote. RNAcentral's name for it is "partial 16S ribosomal RNA". It matches the Rfam family "Bacterial small subunit ribosomal RNA", at positions 524 to 794 of the family's 1533-position model. The record is from RNAcentral.
UACGGAGGAUCCGAGCGUUAUCCGGAUUUAUUGGGUUUAAAGGGUGCUCAGGCGGGCCAUUAAGUCGGCGGUGAAAUUUUGCGGCUCAACCGUAAAAGUGCCUUCGAUACUGGUGGUCUUGAGUGUGGAUGAGGUAGGCGGAAUUUGUGGUGUAGCGGUGAAAUGCAUAGAUAUCACGAGGAACUCCGAUUGCUAAGGCAGCUUACUAAGCCAUAACUGACGCUCAAGCACGAAGGCGUGGGGAUCAAACAGGAUUAGAUACCCGGGUAGU